RNAcentral lists this ribosomal RNA (533 nucleotides) under Agrilus guerinii. RNAcentral's name for it is "Agrilus guerini partial 16S ribosomal RNA". It matches the Rfam family "Bacterial large subunit ribosomal RNA", at positions 1804 to 2611 of the family's 2925-position model. The record is from RNAcentral. Lineage: Eukaryota; Metazoa; Arthropoda; Insecta; Coleoptera; Buprestidae.
UUAACAAAAACAUGUCCUUUUGAGCAUUAUUUAAGGUCUGAUCUGCCCUAUGAUUAAUUUAAAUGGCCGCGAUAUUUUGAUCGUGCGAAGGUAGCAUAAUCAUUAGUUUUUUAAUUGAAAGCUGGUAUGAAGGAUUGGACGAGAUACAAGCUGUCUCAGGUUUAAAGGUUGAAAUUUAUUUUUAAGUUAAAAAGCUUAAUUAGUUUUGUAAGACGAGAAGACCCUAUAGAGUUUAAUAUUUCGUUAUUAUGGAUGAUUGUUGUGUUGAGAAUUUUUAUAAUGUUAGAAUUAUUUAGUUGGGGUGACGGGAAAAUUUAAUAAACUUUUUCUUUUAAAAAUAUUAAUUUAUAGAUUAUUGACUUAAAUUAUUAGUUAUAAGAUUAAAUUACCUUAGGGAUAACAGCGUAAUUUUUCUAAAGAGUUCAUAUCGAAAGAAAAGAUUGCGACCUCGAUGUUGGAUUAAAGUUAAAAUUUGGCGUAGAAGCUGCAUGUUUUAGUCUGUUCGACUAUUAAAACUUUACAUGAUCUGAGUU